Molecule: long non-coding RNA, 680 nt
Organism: Solanum stenotomum
Lineage: Eukaryota; Viridiplantae; Streptophyta; Magnoliopsida; Solanales; Solanaceae
Exons: 3
Source: RefSeq, a predicted model, not a curated record
UUGAAGAGGAAGCGCCCGAAAGAUGAGACAGAGAUUGAAGUAGAAGCACAUUCCGCACUUCUCAACUGAUUCAGGUUCAGGAGUGUGUCGAGAAGGAUGAUUUAAGACAAUUUGGUGGUGAAAUUUCACAUUUGACGACUUUGAGAUAGUUUUUGUUCAGAUUAUACAUUUCUGGCCUUUUCCUUCAAGUUUUUGGGUUUAUUUGUUUUUUCCCUUGAGGUACUGUUUUAAUUUACUUUUAAUGUAUUUUUUGUUUUGAAAUUUUCAUGCAGGUUAGAGAAAGUAUCUUGAAGGUGAGUGGUUCCUUGCAAGAGAUUAUUGGAGUGUAAUUGGGGUACAAAAUCAAAAUCAGAAUACCAAAUUAUGUUUAUCGGUGAAUUACAGAGAAACACUUCCGUCAGUAUAAAAAAAUAAUUUCUGUCUGAGGUACCCUGAACCCUCUCCAUAUAUUGUUUGUUUGAAAUGGAAAAGGUUGAGCUUGGGACUACAACUCCUUCUUAGUUGGAACAAUGAAUUUAGAUGUACUUGUGAUGUCUCCUUCGAUACAAACAUUUGUUUUGGUUAUAUGUUCUCUAAAAGUAUUUAACUAUGAAUAGUUUUGAUAGACAAUGUAUUUAGGUAUUCUGCACAUAUUAUAGAUUAAAGUAUCUAUUGAGCACAUUGAUGGCUAAAUAAAUAGA